GAUGAAGAACGCAGCGAAAUGCGAUAAGUAAUGUGAAUUGCAGAAUUCAGUGAAUCAUCGAAUCUUUGAACGCACAUUGCGCCCGCCAGUAUUCUGGCGGGCAUGCCUGUCCGAGCGUCAUUUCAACCCCUCAAGCCCUGCUUGGUGUUGGGGCCCCCUACGUGCGCCGUAGGCCCCGAAUUCCAGUGGCGGGCUCGCCGCGAACCCGAGCGUAGUAGCUUUUGCCUCGCUCAGGGCCCGCGGCGGGCGCCUGCCGUGAAAGAACCCACUAUUCUAAAGGUUGACCUCGGAUCAGGUAGGAAUACCCGCUGAACUUAAGCAUAUCAAUAAGCGGAGGA
This 338-nucleotide unclassified non-coding RNA is filed under the name soil metagenome. Its description in RNAcentral is "partial contains 5.8S ribosomal RNA, internal transcribed spacer 2, and large subunit ribosomal RNA". The stretch from base 1 to 120 matches the Rfam family "5.8S ribosomal RNA", at positions 35 to 154 of the family's 154-position model. The record is from RNAcentral.